UACGGAAGGCAGCAGGGGGAAUAUUGCACAAUGGGCGCAAGCCUGAUGCAGCCAUGCCGCGUGUAUGAAGAAGGCCUUCGGGUUGUAAAGUACUUUCAGUCGUGAGGAAGGUGUUAAGGUUAAUAACCUUAGCAAUUGACGUUAGCGACAGAAGAAGCACCGGCUAACUCCGUGCCAGCAGCCGCGGUAAUACGGAGGGUGCGAGCGUUAAUCGGAAUUACUGGGCGUAAAGGGCACGCAGGCGGUUAAUUAAGUUGGAUGUGAAAUCCCCGGGCUUAACCUGGGAAUGGCAUUCAAGACUGGUUAGCUAGAGUCUUGUAGAGGGGGUAGAAUUCCAUGUGUAGCGGUGAAAUGCGUAGAGAUGUGGAGGAAUACCGGUGGCGAAGGCGGCCCCUGGACAAAGGCUGACGCUCAUGUGCGAAAGCGUGGGGAGCGAAACAGGGAUUAGAUACC
Molecule: ribosomal RNA, 453 nt
Filed under: uncultured bacterium
Lineage: Bacteria
Description: bacterial SSU rRNA
Rfam family: Bacterial small subunit ribosomal RNA
Source: RNAcentral